AUGGACGAGAGGCUCGCCCAGCCGCCGCCGCCGCCGCAAUUCCAGCUCGGGAACCCCAUGUCCGGCCCGGCGUCGCCCUACUCCGCGCUCCACCCUCUCCUCCUCCCGUCCACGAACCCGCACCUCCUCCUCAAGCCCAAGACGCUGACCCUCUCGCUCUCCUCCUCCUCCCUCGCCUCGAUGCCCUCCUCCUCCUCCCCGCCCGCCCCCGCCUCCGACGCAUGGGAACUCGUCCACCCAACCGUCCCCGUUGCCGCCGCUUCCCCCAUAGACGGCGGCCUCGACGACUGCGCCAUCUUCCCACCGCGCCUUCACGAGGGCCUGGGGCUCGAGGCGGAGGCCGAGGAGGCCGCGACCAAGGAAGAGAAGGAGGAGGAGACUGAUGACGAGGUGGAGUGGCUGUGGGGGUGGGGGAGAUGCCGCGCGGCGGCGACGCGCGCGUGGGCGGCCGGGUCAGGGGCCGUGCUCGUGCAUGGAGAGUGCGGAUGUCCCGGGGUGAGGCCGGCCGUCUGGUCGGCCGCGGCGGCGGCCGUUGUGGUUGGCGCGCUGUUGUACGUGCGCCGGCGAGACAGGAGGGAGAGGGACCUCCUCGUCAUGCUCUCGCAGGAGAAGGAUAAGAGGAUAGCACAACUUCUGCAUCAAAUUGCUUUACUGAGUGACAUCAGAGGCGGCAGCGAAGCAAUUAAAAUUAUGAGGAACUCUUAA
This 705-nucleotide ribosomal RNA is filed under the name Triticum aestivum (bread wheat). RNAcentral's name for it is "partial small subunit ribosomal RNA". Lineage: Eukaryota; Viridiplantae; Streptophyta; Magnoliopsida; Poales; Poaceae. The record is from RNAcentral.